UGCAAAUUGGAUCACCCUGAGCCAACCAGCUAGCUUAACUAAAAAUAUAAUGUAGCACUGUUUAUAACCAACCAAGACCUAACCCCACCAACUAAACCAUUUUUUUACCUAAGUAUGGGAGACAGAAAGGGCUCACCUGAAGCAAUAGAAAAAGUACCGCAAGGAAAGCUGAAAGAGAAAUGAAAUAAUCCAUAUAAGCACUAAAAAACAAAGACUAAACCUUGUACCUUUUGCAUCAUGAUUUAGCCAGCACCCUCAAGCGAAGAGACCUUUAGUUUGAUACCCCGAAACCAGGUGAGCUACCCCGAGACAGCCUAUAUAUUUAGGGCUAACCCGUCUCUGUGGCAAAAGAGUGGGAUGAGCUCCGGGUAGAAGUGAUAAACUUACCGAACCUGGUGAUAGCUGGUUGCCUAAGAAAUGAAUAGAAGUUCAGCCUCGUCCACCCUUUGUCAGGAAAUAUACUACUAAGACACCUUGGAAAUACACGAGAGUUAGUUUAAGGGGGUACAGCCCCUUUAACAAAGGAUACAACCUUCACAGGAGGAUAAAGAUCAUAAUUAAUAAAACCUACUGUUCUAGUGGGCCUGAAAGCAGCCACCUAAUUAGAAAGCGUUAAAGCUCAGACAGGAAAAAGUUUAUUAUACCAAUAAAAAAAUCUUACUCCCCUAACUAUAUUAGGCUAACCCAUACUUCUAUGGGUGAAACUAUGCUAAAAUGAGUAAUAAGAAGACCUGAUCUUCUCCUGGCACAAGUGUAAACCAGAUCGGACUAGCCGCUGGGAUUCAACGACCCCAACCAAAGAGGGCAUUGUGAUUAAUAAAAACCUCAAGGAGAGCUCACAAUUAAGUAAUCGUUACCCCCACACUGGAGUGCCAUUUAAAGGAAAGACUUAAAGAGGAGGAAGGAACUCGGCAAACAAAAGCCUCGCCUGUUUACCAAAAACAUCGCCUCCUGCAACACAAGUAUAGGAGGUCCAGCCUGCCCAGUGACUACGGGUUCAACGGCCGCGGUAUAUUGACCGUGCAAAGGUAGCGCAAUCACUUGUCUUUUAAAUAGAGACCUGUAUGAAUGGCUAGACGAGGGCUUGACUGUCUCCCCCCUCCAGUCAGUGAAAUUGAUCUGCCCGUGCAGAAGCGGACAUAAAACUACAAGACGAGAAGACCCUAUGGAGCUUAAGGUACAAAACUUAACCACGUUAAACGACUCUUUCAAAAGCAAGAACCUAGUGGCCCUAAAGUCUUACCUUCGGUUGGGGCGACCACGGAGGAAAACUAAGCCUCCGAGUGGAAUGGGUAAUCCCUAAAGCCAAAAGAGACAUCUUUAAGCCGCAGAACAUCUGACCAACAAUGAUCCGGCUCUAGGGCCGAUCAACGAACCAAGUUACCCUAGGGAUAACAGCGCAAUCCUCUCCCAGAGCCCAUAUCGACGAGGGGGUUUACGACCUCGAUGUUGGAUCAGGACAUCCUAAUGGUGCAGCCGCUAUUAAGGGUUCGUUUGUUCAACGAUUAAAGUCCUACGUGAUCUGAGUUCAGACCGGAGUAAUCCAGGUCAGUUUCUAUCUGUAACGCUACUUUUCCUAGUACGAAAGGAUCGGAAAAAGGGGGCCUAUGCUUAAAGCACGCCCCACCCCUAAUUUAUGAAACCAAAUAAAUUAAACAAGGGCGGGCCAAACCCUGCCGCCCAAAAUAAGGGCA
RNAcentral lists this ribosomal RNA (1694 nucleotides) under Phenacobius mirabilis. Its description in RNAcentral is "16S ribosomal RNA". The stretch from base 113 to 1613 matches the Rfam family "Bacterial large subunit ribosomal RNA". The record is from RNAcentral. Lineage: Eukaryota; Metazoa; Chordata; Actinopteri; Cypriniformes; Leuciscidae.